This 85-nucleotide unclassified non-coding RNA is filed under the name Algibacter pectinivorans. Its description in RNAcentral is "Flavo-1 RNA". The record is from RNAcentral. Lineage: Bacteria; Pseudomonadati; Bacteroidota; Flavobacteriia; Flavobacteriales; Flavobacteriaceae.
GGAUUGCUGCGUUAGGGAUUGAAAUGGAAAGCCCACAGCCUGACGGAGGAAGUGCGAGGACUUGCAGUGGAAAGCCCGACCGCUU